RNAcentral lists this ribosomal RNA (422 nucleotides) under uncultured archaeon. RNAcentral describes it as "partial 16S ribosomal RNA". It matches the Rfam family "Archaeal small subunit ribosomal RNA", at positions 323 to 746 of the family's 1478-position model. The record is from RNAcentral.
CUACGGGAGGCACCAGGCGAGAAAACUUUGCAAUGUGCGAAAGCACGACAAGGUUAAUCCGAGUGGUUUGUGCUAAACGAACCUUUUGACAGUCCUAGAAACACUGUUGAAUAAGGGGUGGGCAAGUUCUGGUGUCAGCCGCCGCGGUAAAACCAGCACCUCAAGUGGUCAGGAUGAUUAUUGGGCCUAAAGCAUCCGUAGCCGGCUCUGUUAGUUUUCGGUUAAAUCUGUACGCUCAACGUACAGGCCGCCGGGAAUACUGCAGAGCUAGGGAGUGGGAGAGGUAGACGGUACUCGGUAGGAAGGGGUAAAAUCCUUUGAUCUAUUGAUGACCACCUGUGGCGAAGGCGGUCUACCAGAACACGUCCGACGGUGAGGGAUGAAAGCUGGGGGAGCAAACCGGAUUAGAUACCCUAGUAGUC